GACGAACGCUGGCGGCGUGCUUAACACAUGCAAGUCGAACGGAAAGGCCUGCUUUCCCUUGUGGAUUGCGGGUACUCGAGUGGCGAACGGGUGAGUAACACGUGAGUGAUCUGCCCCCAACUUGGGUAUAAGCCUGGGAAACUGGGUCUAAUUCCCGAUAGGACUGCAGGGUGGUGCCUGUGGUGGAAAACGAUUUUCUAGUGGUUGGGGAUGAGCUCGCGGCCUAUCAGCUUGUUGGUGGGGUAAUGGCCUACCAAGGCGGCGACGGGGAGCCGGCCUGAGAGGGUGGACGGCCACAUUGGGACUGAGAUCCGGCCCAGACGCCUACGGGAGGCAGCAGUUGGGAAUAUUGGACAAUGGGCGGGAGCCUGAUGCAGCGACUCCGCGUGGGGGAUGACGGCCUUCGGGAUGUAAACUCCUGUCGACCACGAGCAAGCCACCUGGUUGGAAGGGUGGUGACGGUAGUGGUAGAAGAAGCACCGGCUAACUACGUG
This 494-nucleotide ribosomal RNA is filed under the name uncultured bacterium. RNAcentral describes it as "partial 16S ribosomal RNA". It matches the Rfam family "Bacterial small subunit ribosomal RNA", at positions 28 to 507 of the family's 1533-position model. The record is from RNAcentral.